CCUACGGGAGGCAGCAGUAGGGAAUUUUCGGCAAUGGGGGGAACCCUGACCGAGCAACGCCGCGUGAACGAAGAAGUUAUUCGUAAUGUAAAGUUCUUUUAACAGGGAAGAAAGAGAAAUUUGACGGUAGCUGCAGAAUAAGCUCCGGCUAACUACGUGCCAGCAGCCGCGGUAAUACGUAGGGAGCGUGGGUUAUCCGGAUUUAUGGGGCGUAAAGGGGGCGUUGAUGGCAUAGAAAGUCUUUGGUAAAAAUGCUGGGCGCAACCCAGUAGGGCAAAAGAUACUGCAAAGCUAGAGUAUGACAGAGGCGAGUGGAACUACAUGUGUAGCGGUAAAAUGCGUAAAUAUAUGGAAGAACACCAGUGGCGAAGGCGGCUUGCUGGGUCGAUACUGACAUUGAGGCACGAAAGCGUGGGGAGCAAACAGGAUUAGAUACCCUAGUAGUC
Molecule: ribosomal RNA, 446 nt
Filed under: uncultured bacterium
Lineage: Bacteria
Description: partial 16S ribosomal RNA
Rfam family: Bacterial small subunit ribosomal RNA
Source: RNAcentral